Rattus norvegicus (Norway rat) is the source of this 1087-nucleotide long non-coding RNA. RefSeq lists it as uncharacterized. Lineage: Eukaryota; Metazoa; Chordata; Mammalia; Rodentia; Muridae. The record is from RefSeq and is a predicted model, not a curated record.
GAAAGGGAAUAACACUCGAAAUGUAUAUAAGAAAUACUCAAGUUAAUUAAAAAAAAAAAAAAAAGAGUGUGAGUUUCCUGGGCUUGACUCUCCUGCAUUCUCAGCGCAGACACUUCCUGCUGCAUGUAUUUGAGGACUGUGUAAUGGCCAGUGUCCCAAGAGAGGAUUAUACUAUCUUAUGAGGUUUUGACGAUGGGAUUUGAGUCCAGGAGCAUGAGAAGGGGAAAUCAAAGAACAGACUCCAGCACUCAAGACUGUUGGAGCACUGAGAAAGAAACAACAUAGUUCCACUGGACAGGAUGGACAGAAGGACAGAAGCCUGGAGGAUGCUCCAGAGACUACACUACUACAUCUCCCAAUGCCCGUGUGACAUUUGAAAAACAAAUGUUGUCAUAAGAGGUCACACUUCCUCAAAUGAAGUCACUCUUCUCUCCCUCUGGUACUGAUACAUAUAAGUUAUACAUGGAGAAACAAGUCUUUUUUGCUACAGCUACGACCAGAAAAUGAGAGAUGCCUUCUGCACUUUAAUUCGUUUAACUCGCCUAAAAAGAAUGGAUGGUGUUGAACCCCCAGUUUGGCCAAAGCUUGCUCGGGUCCACAUCAAGUCACAAAUGUUUCUGAAAGGUAAUGAAGGGGGAGAGUCCCUUGCACUUGGUUCUGGUUCCAAACCUCUCCACUGAGGUCCUCUAACUGAAGCAGAACUGGUGACAGAUGUAAAUUCCAUGGAUAAUCAAAGCAGGGGCCGGGGCAUGGUUUGAGAAGGACCACAAGCAGGUUUUGGUGCAGACUAUUUUCCCUGAUGCCGUGAAGAACACAUUCUCUGUCCACACAAAUUUUAGUUCCCCAGAGAUGACCUUCUCAUUUCUCAGUGUAGAAAUGUGACAGAGGCCUUCCACUUACCCAGGCCACCUGACCCACAAUGCACCUGUCAGACUCGGCAAGCAACAGCCCUGGGGUAGGAUGUGGGGAAGGACAAAGGUUUUGAAAUGUGGAGUUAUUUGGGUGUCUGGGGAAUUUGACAGAACUUGUGACUGCUCAUAGGAGGGAGGCUGGUAACUUAAAUAAACAUGAAUCAUUCCAGAACAAA